GCCCAGACUCCUACGGGAGGCAGCAGUGAGGAAUAUUGGUCAAUGGGCGCAAGCCUGAACCAGCCAAGUCGCGUGAGGGAUGACGGUCCUAUGGAUUGUAAACCUCUUUUGUCGGGGAGCAAGGCCCGCCACGUGUGGCGGGAAGGAGAGUACCCGAAGAAAAAGCAUCGGCUAACUCCGUGCCAGCAGCCGCGGUAAUACGGAGGAUGCGAGCGUUAUCCGGAUUUAUUGGGUUUAAAGGGUGCGUAGGCGGAAGGUUAAGUCAGCGGUCAAAUGUCGGUGCUCAACACCGGCCUGCCGUUGAAACUGGUCUUCUUGAGUGAGCGAGAAGUAUGCAGAAUGCGCGGUGUAGCGGUGAAAUGCAUAGAUAUCGCGCAGAACCCCGAUUGCGAAGGCAGCGUGCCGUGCCGCCACUGACGCUGAGGCACGAAAGCGCGGGGAUCGAACAGGAUUAGAUACCCCAGUAC
Molecule: ribosomal RNA, 467 nt
Filed under: uncultured bacterium
Lineage: Bacteria
Description: bacterial SSU rRNA
Rfam family: Bacterial small subunit ribosomal RNA
Source: RNAcentral